GACGAACGUUGGCGGCGUGCCUAAUACAUGCAAGUCGAGCGGACUGAAUGGGAGCUUGCUCUUGUUCGGUCAGCGGCGGACGGGUGAGUAACACGUGGGCAACCUGCCCGCAAGACCGGGAUAACUCCGGGAAACCGGAGCUAAUACCGGAUAACACCGAAGACCGCAUGGUCUUUGGUUGAAAGGCGGCGCAAGCUGCCACUUGCGGAUGGGCCCGCGGCGCAUUAGCUAGUUGGUGAGGUAACGGCUCACCAAGGCGACGAUGCGUAGCCGGCCUGAGAGGGUGACCGGCCACACUGGGACUGAGACACGGCCCAGACUCCUACGGGAGGCAGCAGUAGGGAAUCUUCCGCAAUGGGCGAAAGCCUGACGGAGCGACGCCGCGUGAGCGAAGAAGGCCUUCGGGUCGUAAAGCUCUGUUGUGAGGGACGAAGGAGCGCCGUUUGAAGAAGGCGGCGCGGUGACGGUACCUCACGAGGAAGCCCCGGCUAACUACGUG
Molecule: ribosomal RNA, 499 nt
Filed under: uncultured bacterium
Lineage: Bacteria
Description: partial 16S ribosomal RNA
Rfam family: Bacterial small subunit ribosomal RNA
Source: RNAcentral